Molecule: ribosomal RNA, 253 nt
Filed under: uncultured bacterium
Lineage: Bacteria
Description: partial 16S ribosomal RNA
Rfam family: Bacterial small subunit ribosomal RNA
Source: RNAcentral
UACGUAGGGUGCGAGCGUUGUCCGGAAUUACUGGGCGUAAAGAGCUCGUAGGUGGUUUGUCGCGUUGUUCGUGAAAACUCACAGCUCAACUGUGGGCGUGCGGGCGAUACGGGCAGACUGGAGUACUGCAGGGGAGACUGGAAUUCCGGGUGUAGUGGUGAAAUGCGUAGAGAUCCGGAGGAACACCAGUGGCGAAGGCGACACGCUGGGCCGUACCUGACACUGAUACGCGACAGCAUGGGGAGCGAACGGG